This 165-nucleotide ribosomal RNA is filed under the name uncultured bacterium. RNAcentral describes it as "partial 16S ribosomal RNA". It matches the Rfam family "Bacterial small subunit ribosomal RNA", at positions 355 to 511 of the family's 1533-position model. The record is from RNAcentral.
UAGGGAAUCUUCCACAAUGGGCGAAAGCCUGAUGGAGCAACGCCGCGUGUGUGAUGAAGGGUUUCGGCUCGUAAAACUCUGUUGGUAGAGAAGAACGUUGGUGAGAGUGGAAAGCUCAUCAAGUGACGGUAACUACCCAGAAAGGGACGGCUAACUACGUGCUAG